This 484-nucleotide ribosomal RNA is filed under the name uncultured bacterium. RNAcentral describes it as "partial 16S ribosomal RNA". It matches the Rfam family "Bacterial small subunit ribosomal RNA", at positions 29 to 507 of the family's 1533-position model. The record is from RNAcentral.
AUUGAACGCUGGCGGCAUGCUUUACACAUGCAAGUCGAACGGCAGCGCGGGCUUCGGCUUGGCGGCGAGUGGCGAACGGGUGAGUAAUACAUCGGAACGUGCCCAGUAGUGGGGGAUAGCUCGGCGAAAGCCGGAUUAAUACCGCAUACGACCUGAGGGUGAAAGCGGGGGAUCUUCGGACCUCGCGCUAUUGGAGCGGCCGAUGGCAGAUUAGCUAGUUGGUGGGGUAAAGGCCUACCAAGGCGACGAUCUGUAGCUGGUCUGAGAGGACGACCAGCCACACUGGGACUGAGACACGGCCCAGACUCCUACGGGAGGCAGCAAUGGGGAAUUUUGGACAAUGGGCGAAAGCCUGAUCCAGCAAUGCCGCGUGUGUGAUGAAGGCCUUCGGGUUGUAAAGCACUUUUGGCGGGAACGAAAAGGACUGUGCCAAUACCACGGUUCGAUGACGGUACCCGCAGAAUAAGCACCGGCUAACUACGUG